GAAGCAGCAGUAGGGAAUAUUCCACAAUGGACGAAAGUCUGAUGGAGCGACACAGCGUGCAGGAUGAAGGCCCUAUGGGUUGUAAACUGCUGUGGUUAGAGAAGAAAAAGUAGCAUAGGAAAUGAUGCUACCUUGACGGUACCUGAUUAGAAAGCAACGGCUAACUAUGUGCCAGCAGCCGCGGUAAUACAUAGGUUGCAAGCGUUAUCCGAAAUUAUUGGGCGUAAAGCGUCUGUAGGUUGUUUGUUAAGUCUGGCGUUAAAUUUUGGGGCUCAACCCCAAAACGCGUUGGAUACUGGCAGACUAGAGUUAUGUAGAGGUUAGCGGAAUUCCUUGUGAAGCGGUGAAAUGCGUAGAUAUAAGGAAGAACAUCAAUAUGGCGAAGGCAGCUAACUGGGCAUACACUGACACUGAGAGACGAAAGCGUGGGGAGCAAACAGGAUUAGAUACCCUGGUAGUCCACGCCCUAAACGAUGAUCAUUAGUUGAUGGGGAACUCAUCGACGCAGCUAACGCAUUAAAUGAUCCGCCUGAGUAGUACGUUCGCAAGAAUAAAACUUAAAGGAAUUGACGGGGAUCCGCACAAGCGGUGGAGCAUGUGGUUUAAUUUGAUGUUACGCGUAGAACCUUACCCACUCUUGACAUCUUCUGCAAAGCUAUAGAGACAUAGUGGAGGUUAACAGAAUGACAGAUGGUGCAUGGUUGUCGUCAGCUCGUGUCGUGAGAUGUUCGGUUAAGUCCUGCAACGAGCGCAACCCUUAUCCUUAGUUACUACCAUUUAGUUGAGCACUCUAAGGAGACUGCCCGAGUAAUCGGGAGGAAGGUGGGGACGACGUCAAAUCAUCAUGCCUCUUACGAGUGGGGCUACACACGUGCUACAAUGGACGGUACAAAGAGAAGCGAAGUGGUGACAUGGAGCAAACCUCAAAAAACCGUCUCAGUUC
This 943-nucleotide ribosomal RNA is filed under the name Mycoplasmopsis bovis. RNAcentral describes it as "bacterial SSU rRNA". It matches the Rfam family "Bacterial small subunit ribosomal RNA", at positions 345 to 1294 of the family's 1533-position model. Lineage: Bacteria; Bacillati; Mycoplasmatota; Mycoplasmoidales; Metamycoplasmataceae. The record is from RNAcentral.